Molecule: unclassified non-coding RNA, 442 nt
Filed under: Hevea brasiliensis (rubber tree)
Lineage: Eukaryota; Viridiplantae; Streptophyta; Magnoliopsida; Malpighiales; Euphorbiaceae
Source: RNAcentral
GCGGGAUUUUAUAAGGGAGGAAAUAAAAUUGAGGUGUGGGGUUCAAGGGCAUUUGGGACCUCCUCUUUUUGUCUUCCAAUUGUUGUAGCAAGGGCAGGAUUGCUUGUUUCCAUAAGUUCCAGAAGGCACACACAAGCACUUUGCACAACACUUCUGACAGAAGAACAUGCAUGGCUUCUUGUAAGCUGUCUUUGAGCAUCUUGUGGUGCAACGUGGUGCACAUUCUUGAGGAUGAAGGCUGCCUUGAGUGGUGCCAUAUGUCGGAAGAUUGCUGUUUGGUUGUGGCUGAGGAGUUGGAGCCUCAGUUAUGUUAGGAUUGUUCUCUGCUAAAAGAAGCAUCCAACAAAGAACAAAGAAGGCAAUGCUUGCUUUCCUCAUAAUUGCCUAUGCUUGGAAGCAACAGCAGAGAUACGAAGCUGAGAGAGAGAGAGAGAGAGAGAGA